Molecule: long non-coding RNA, 786 nt
Organism: Alligator mississippiensis (American alligator)
Lineage: Eukaryota; Metazoa; Chordata; Crocodylia; Alligatoridae
Exons: 2
Source: RefSeq, a predicted model, not a curated record
UGACUGGCUAUUGUGCCGCUGCAGGAGAAAGAAAUCCCCAUCAGGGUCGUGAACAAGCUGUUUAUCAUCACUGGCUUGAAGGAGCUGCCUAAAGAUCUGCAAGGGCACAGCCUGCUGGUCACCUCCUCCAGCGCCCUCGCCUCUCUCCAGCCGCCCACGCUUGCUCCUGCAGCGACACCUGCAGACCAUCUCCACCCUGACAGCCCCUCCAUGAGUGAAGACGACCUCCCCAACCUCACCGGGAGCCCAGCGGCUACAUAGAAAAGCUGAAACAGCGCCAAAGCCACCACACACGUCACCGACUGACAAGUCGUCAUCCAGUCCGAGCCGUCCUCCACAGACAAGUCAGCGUCUGCAAGAGAAGCAGCCUGAGAAACCCUCAUGGUGAAGAACUUGAACAUCUUCUUCCAGCCCAGGUUGCCAAGUGGAGGACGCUCUUGUUGUGUGGAUGGCAUUUUGUGACCCGUGCCUCAGGGCUUUGGCUGGUCGCCGUUUGGGGCCAGGAAGGAAUUUUUUCCCCCUUCAUUUAUGGAACCAACUUCUGGGGGUUUUUCGCCUUCCUCUGAGGCAUCGGGACAUAGUCAGACCAUCCCGGCGUCUGUUCUGUUAGUAGCCUGCCUUUGAAUCCAUCGAGGGCCAUUCAGGGAGUGAAGAGAGCAAAGGCAUAAACAAUGUGCACUGUUAAACAUAGAUUUAGUGUAAUAUGUAAUGUUGAACAUAGAUGUUAUAGAACUUAAGAGUAGAUGUAAGAUAAUAAAGUUAAGCUUUAGUUUUCUUUUCUUAUAA